Molecule: ribosomal RNA, 441 nt
Filed under: uncultured bacterium
Lineage: Bacteria
Description: bacterial SSU rRNA
Rfam family: Bacterial small subunit ribosomal RNA
Source: RNAcentral
AUUGAACGCUGGCGGUAUGCUUAAGACAUGCAAGUCGAACGGUAAGCUCUUCGGAGCCUAGAGUGGCGAACGGGUGAGUAACACGUGGGAAUCUACCCAGUAGCGGGGGAUAGCCUGGAGAAAUCCAGAUUAAUACCGCAUACGCUCUACGGAGGAAAGGCUUCGGCCACUAUUGGAUGAGCCCGCGUUGGAUUAGCUAGUUGGUGAGGUAAAGGCUCACCAAGGCGACGAUCCAUAGCUGGUCUGAGAGGAUGAUCAGCCACAUCGGAACUGAGACACGGUCCGGACUCCUACGGGAGGCAGCAGUCGGGAAUAUUGGACAAUGGGGGCAACCCUGAUCCAGCAAUACCGCGUGUGUGAAGAAGGCCUGCGGGUUGUAAAGCACUUUCGCUAGGGACGAUAAUGACGGUACCUAGAUAAGAAGCACCGGCUAACUCCGUG